RNAcentral lists this long non-coding RNA (1204 nucleotides) under Gallus gallus (chicken). RNAcentral describes it as "lncRNA (ENSGALG00010012299.1)". Lineage: Eukaryota; Metazoa; Chordata; Aves; Galliformes; Phasianidae. The record is from RNAcentral.
AAAUUGGUCAGCCUGAGAAUAAGGUGUAUUUGUGCUUGCAGCUGUGUUGCACAGCAGCCAGCUACCUGCAGACUGCACUCAUUCCUGUAGCACCCCUGCACCAUUCACUCCACUCUUGCUCCAGCACCCUGUAGCCAAGUCCUAAGAGACUAAUUAUACCCAUUCCCUGUUUUGUGAUGAAGUUUCAUGGAAAGUUUUUAAAAACGUCUCACAACUGAUUAACAAGAAAGUCUUCAAGUUUUUUAAAAUGAGUUACAAGAACAUUAAAAAACAAGCUACAAGUUGGGGGGAAAGAUAAGAUCAUUUUUGAAGAAGAUUGGGGCUGGAUUAGGGAAUCAUGUACCAUCAAAACAAAUCUGCAUUUAAAAUACCGGUAAUUUCAAAACACAGCUGCUGUCAAAGAUAGCCUUCAGGAUGGAAGAAGAGAGGUUGUGAAAAAGGAAAAUCUGCAAAGUUUACAAGACCAUCAAGUGCUGGUUUACCUUUAUUCCCAUCAAAGUCAAUCCUGAAACAUCCUGAAAUACUCUACGUAUAAAUAUGCCCCUGGAAUUCAACAACAACAGAAUUGUAAUCCAACACCCAAGAGUCUGUAAGUUGAAAGAAAAGAUAGAAAAGAUCUUCAUAAAUCUGCAGAUAUCAGGAGCCACAAGGUGGUAGUAGAUUAUAUAUGCAUAAUCCUGUUGUAUUAUAGGAGUAGGGAUAUAUGGAACAGAAUUUAUUUCUUUUGACAGCAGACUGCAAGAUCUUGCUCAUUCCUGUUCUCUAAAUCUUUUAAAAAAUUGCUUUGUCUGGUAUUCUGCUAUGCUUUCCCUCUCUCUUUUCAUUUCACUUUUUCUUUUUUCCCCCUUUUAUAAAAUCUUUUCUAAUGUAAAAUGAGAAAAUAAAUAGCUCUUGAAGUCAGGAAGAUUUCUGAAAUACUUUUCAAGUUAUAUGCAACAAGCACAAAAUCUUCCAAGUUGUAACAAAUUCUAACAUGGAUGCAUAUUCGAAGUUUAAGUAUAUGAUUCUUUCAACAAUGCACAGACUGCUGAAUUUCAUCUGUUGUUGUAAGUUAGAGAUAAGGUUACAGGGAAAAAAAAAAAAAAAACAGAAGUUAUUUAAUACAUUGCCGAUUGUUGCAAGUAGUAGUGAAGCCUACAAAAAAUCAUCUUAUGAAGUCAUAAAAAUGAAUGUCACAGUUAUAAUUCACAGAUCAUAGUCCAUG